GUGGGGAAUCUUGCGCAAUGGGCGAAAGCCUGACGCAGCCAUGCCGCGUGAAUGAUGAAGGUCUUAGGAUUGUAAAAUUCUUUCACCGGGGACGAUAAUGACGGUACCCGGAGAAGAAGCUCCGGCUAACUUCGUGCCAGCAGCCGCGGUAAUACGAAGGGGGCUAGCGUUGCUCGGAUUUACUGGGCGUAAAGGGCGCGUAGGCGGACAUUUAAGUCAGGGGUGAAAUCCCGGGGCUCAACCUCGGAACUGCCUUUGAUACUGGGUGUCUUGAGUAUGAGAGAGGUGUGUGGAACUCCGAGUGUAGAGGUGAAAUUCGUAGAUAUUCGGAAGAACACCAGUGGCGAAGGCGACACACUGGCUCAUUACUGACGCUGAGGCGCGAAAGCGUGGGGAGCAAACAGGAUUAGAUACCCUGGUAGUCC
This 425-nucleotide ribosomal RNA is filed under the name uncultured bacterium. Its description in RNAcentral is "partial 16S ribosomal RNA". It matches the Rfam family "Bacterial small subunit ribosomal RNA", at positions 354 to 796 of the family's 1533-position model. The record is from RNAcentral.